GCCAUUACAGCACGUGUGUAGCGUGUUACACAUGUGCCAAACUGCUUAAAGUGUGUUAUUUACCCUCUAGAAAGGUUUAUCACAGCUAAAAGUAUGUCGUUUUGACCCACUGAAUGAAAACGACCCAUUACACAUGUGUCGUUUCUUAUAUACAUUACAUAUAAACAUGAUUGUUACAAGUGAUAACACAAUCACUUGUAAAAAUCAUACUUCAUAUUCCCCCUGGCCCUGGCAACAAAUGUGACAUAGCAACGAGUGAGACUGUUUAAAUGGUAGCUAGCUAGUUAGUUCAACCAAGUAUAUAGUACAGUACAGUCGAGACAACUGUUUACUUCAAAGAAUUGAACUGCUGAAACCACUCUCAACUCUGAAACUACCCGUGACUCUACUUGUUUUUUUGGCUGAUGAGUCAGUAAUUCUCCUUUCUCAACAAUGGCAGACUCCUUCGAUUGUGAUAGUGUACGAAACAGAGGGCUCAAAGGUAGGCCAUCCUAACCACCGAGCUAGCUGUCUGAAUCUUAAUAUAUACUGGUUCCUGUCAGGGCACAAAUUUGAGGCCCUCUUAACUAUCCUCAAACUUCUCGAGUCUCUCUUCAUAGAGUGUUUGAUCACUGGGGAAGUUGGUUCUUUCCGCUUUCUCUAACAUUUAUUUUUGCGGUCUGAUUCUUUUUUCUAGCCGUUGUCAAGGCAUUUACACAAAUUUAAGUACAUCAGCAUAAUUAUUCUGAGUUAUUAUUCUGCAGGUAGGCCAUCCACCCUCCAAGUGAGCUAGCUGUCUGAAUCUUAAUACUGGUCCCUGUCAGGGCACAAAUUUGAGGUAGGCCUUCCUAACCACCCUCCAAGUGAACUAGCUGUCUGAAUCUUAAUACUGGUCUGAAAUAGGUAUGAAGUACAAGUUCAAAGGACUAAAGGACUGUAGUAAAGACUUAUAAUUAACUGGAUGCAUGCAUGCAAGUUUUGCAAACACUUCUGUUUCAUUUUCAGUUAUUAUAAUUAUGCUAUAGACUCGUCAUUAUUGUUU
Molecule: long non-coding RNA, 1021 nt
Organism: Halichondria panicea
Lineage: Eukaryota; Metazoa; Porifera; Demospongiae; Suberitida; Halichondriidae
Exons: 6
Source: RefSeq, a predicted model, not a curated record